GCCUGACGCAGCGACGCCGCGUGGGUGAUGAAGGCCUUCGGGUCGUAAAGCCCUGUCGAGGGGAACGAAACGGCUCCGACCUAAUACGUCGGGGCCCUGACGGUACCCCUAAAGGAAGCACCGGCUAACUCCGUGCCAGCAGCCGCGGUAAUACGGAGGGUGCAAGCGUUGUUCGGAAUCACUGGGCGUAAAGGGCGUGUAGGCGGCCGGCUAAGUCUGAUGUGAAAGCCCGGGGCUCACCCCCGGAAGGGCAUUGGAUACUGGCAGGCUCGAGUCCCGGAGAGGAGGGUGGAAUUCCUGGUGUAGCGGUGAAAUGCGUAGAUAUCAGGAGGAACACCGGUGGCGAAGGCGUCCCUAUGGACGGUGACUGACGCUGAGACGCGAAAGCGUGGGGAGCAAACAGGAUUAGAUACCCUGGUAGUCCACGCUGUAAACGAUGAGCACUAGGUGUCGUGGGUAUUGACCCCCGCGGUGCCGUAGCUAACGCAUUAAGUGCUCCGCCUGGGGACUACGGCCGCAAGGUUA
This 525-nucleotide ribosomal RNA is filed under the name uncultured Pseudomonadota bacterium. Its description in RNAcentral is "bacterial SSU rRNA". It matches the Rfam family "Bacterial small subunit ribosomal RNA", at positions 381 to 896 of the family's 1533-position model. The record is from RNAcentral. Lineage: Bacteria; Pseudomonadati; Pseudomonadota.